GUCUAAGAUAGCCUUUGCCCCGCGGGUCCGCUUCGAGCGCAGCGGCUUUGGCCUUUCUCCUGAAGCUCUCGCCUUGUGUUCUGAGUCGUGGGACGGAAAGACUCGCAGCGGCCUUGAGCCGGGACCUCCACCCUCUUGGAGGCGUGGGGCCGAGGUAGCCUGGUGUGUCGGCCCCGUUGCCCUUCAGGGCUCCAGUCCGCUCACUUUCCUAGUGAAGACGGCUUUUAGGGGCUCCAAGCCUCUUGCCCUUAUGGUUUUUGCUAAUAAAACACUCUUUCACUAUGGCCCUUCCGCGUCCUUGUGGGCCCUUGUGUUGGGCAGUGGGGACUCGAAGACAACUCCUUACUCUCAGAGAGCUCCCAAACUAGCGGAGUAGAUAGACCCGGGGAAGUAAAUUCUGGUAUUAGAUGGAGUAGUGUAACUGAGCAAAGGCCGUGUGCCCGGGUCGCAAAAAGCCGGUCUGACAGCGAGUGUUUGCUGCAAAGAAAGGGGUUUAUUUGCUGGGCGCCAAAGGAGUAAAAGACAAGUCUCAGAUUCAUUCCAUCUUGGUCUUUAAGAGUGAAGUUUUUAUCAGAGGGGCCUACCUGGAGGUGAUUCUCCACAUUGUAGAACUGAAUUUGAAGCUACACAUCAGCCUCAGUUGGAAUUGAAUUCCUCUUUAUUGCUCACAGUCUCUCAGGUGGCUGAUGGCAGAUCCUGACCUCUCAGAGGGAUUGGCCAGUUGGAGAUCUCCCACCAGAUCUUCAGACUCACCCGUUAUCAGCAACUGCUGGGCCUUACUCACAAGGCCCUCAGCCAACUCUGGGAGCUCUGCUUGUGAUGGUUGCAGCCCAAACUACAUUCAAGGAGAAGAUCCUGGAGCUGAAGCAAUUCCUAACCAUCCUUCACAGGGAGAUCCAAGCCUGGAUGAGGGUGUGUCAUCUAGGAAGCUUUGAGAAUGCAAUGACUGGUGCAGCAUUUGGACUGAGAAUGAAGGCAGUGAAGCCACACUGAGGAUGAGCAGCAGGACUUUGAGGAGGCUGGAGCUCAUAACGGUGAAAGCAAGGAUUUGGCCCUGGUGAAGUCAGUGAUGAAAUGGCACAGACUAGCCCAGCAUCCCAGAAGUCCAGGGCUGUUCCCAAACUGACUGUCUUUUUGCCAGACUCCUUGAAUCAAAGACGUUGUCCUGUUGGCUCUGGAACACUGACUACACGUAGUAGACUUAAUGAAUAAUCCCUUGACUAGUACCAGCUGACACUGUGAAAACACUGACAACUGGAAGAACACUGACAACGGCAAAUACUCAGGUUCUUCUAAAUAUGACUCAGUAAAUAUUUAUGGAAUGCCAGUCUUACCCAGGCAACUCUGCCAAACGCUGCAGGACAUACAAAUGAAAAGAAGGGUCCCAUCUUGCAGGGAGCACGCAGUGGUAGGAAAAUCAGAAGAUAGCACAAAGGGGACCUGAAUUCCACUGAAGGACCUGCUGCUGGUAAAUUGCGUGACCCUGAGCAACUCUCUUCCUGGCAAGGAAGCAAGUUCUUAAUUCUCUGACAAGAACUAUAAAUGGAACUUAUUUCACAGGUUAUAAACUAUCUAACAAGAAAAAAAACAAAACAAAACCAGAAUCAUUGUGAGCAUGCCAGGCCCAGAUAUGGGUACAACCCCCUCAGGGGGUGUUAACCCUGACCAGAGCAAAACUGCCUUUGUGAAAAUUAUAAAGGAUAACUUCAUCUAAAAUGGAAUUGGGAGUUCAGAGGGGAAGAUCUCAGGCCCUACCAGUAGACACCAAUUGUGUUAGAAAGAGAAGUACUUUUGCAUUGCCAAGAGGAAGGUUACUACUUUACUAUCCAGCAGGAGGAAGAAUUUCUCCUUGCCCAGCAACAGCCGAGCCAAUCAAAGACUGGAACGAUUCAGCCAAUGAAAAACCACUCCAUUUAAAACUGCCAGUUUUCCCCCAGGGGACUCAUAACAUCCCCUUGCAACUCCUGGUCCUCUCUGUAAAAGUACCCUUCUUUGCCUUUGUUCUCCAGACUGCUUAUGAUUGCCAGAGUUUUCAUGUUCUAAAUUGCAACUCUCUGUUCGCUAAUAAACUCAUUUUGCUGAUAAAAUAA
Camelus dromedarius (Arabian camel) is the source of this 2090-nucleotide long non-coding RNA. RefSeq lists it as uncharacterized. The transcript is spliced from 4 exons. Lineage: Eukaryota; Metazoa; Chordata; Mammalia; Artiodactyla; Camelidae. The record is from RefSeq and is a predicted model, not a curated record.